This 253-nucleotide ribosomal RNA is filed under the name uncultured bacterium. Its description in RNAcentral is "partial 16S ribosomal RNA". It matches the Rfam family "Bacterial small subunit ribosomal RNA", at positions 524 to 776 of the family's 1533-position model. The record is from RNAcentral.
UACGUAGGGUGCGAGCGUUGUCCGGAAUUAUCGGGCGUAAAGAGCUUGUAGGCGGUCUGUCGCGUCUGCUGUGAAAAUCCGGGGCUCAACCCCGGACUUGCAGUGGGUACGGGCAGACUAGAGUGUGGUAGGGGAGACUGGAAUUCCUGGUGUAGCGGUGAAAUGCGCAGAUAUCAGGAGGAACACCGAUGGCGAAGGCAGGUCUCUGGGCCACUACUGACGCUGAGGAGCGAAAGUGUGGGGAGCGAACAGG